GUAAGAUGAAUCUACGGUUAUUUGCAGUUAGUUAAUCACCGGGAUUGCAUCUUUCGA
RNAcentral lists this microRNA precursor (57 nucleotides) under Panagrellus redivivus. RNAcentral's name for it is "microRNA prd-mir-7940b precursor". It matches the Rfam family "mir-7940 microRNA precursor family". The record is from miRBase by way of RNAcentral. Lineage: Eukaryota; Metazoa; Nematoda; Chromadorea; Rhabditida; Panagrolaimidae.